UUUUAGCCCUAAUAGAAAUGAAAAUAUUUUGCUGAAAAAAGAUUGAAAUGUAUAGCAGGAUUAGCU
RNAcentral lists this small RNA (66 nucleotides) under Flavobacterium sinopsychrotolerans. RNAcentral describes it as "Flavo-1 RNA". It matches the Rfam family "Flavo-1 RNA". Lineage: Bacteria; Pseudomonadati; Bacteroidota; Flavobacteriia; Flavobacteriales; Flavobacteriaceae. The record is from RNAcentral.